UUUGAUCCUGGCUCAGAACGAACGCUGGCGGCAGGCCUAACACAUGCAAGUCGAGCGCACUCUUCGGAGUGAGCGGCGGACGGGUUAGUAACGCGUGGGAAUAUGCCCUUCUCUAAGGAAUAGCCACUGGAAACGGUGAGUAAUACCUUAUACGCCCUUCGGGGGAAAGAUUUAUCGGAGAAGGAUUAGCCCGCGUAAGAUUAGAUAGUUGGUGGGGUAAUGGCCUACCAAGUCUACGAUCUUUAGCUGGUUUUAGAGGAUGAUCAGCAACACUGGGACUGAGACACGGCCCAGACUCCUACGGGAGGCAGCAGUGGGGAAUCUUGGACAAUGGGCGCAAGCCUGAUCCAGCCAUGCCGCGUGAGUGAUGAAGGCCUUAGGGUCGUAAAGCUCUUUCGCCAGAGAUGAUAAUGACAGUACCUGGUAAAGAAACCCCGGUUAACUCCGUGCCAGCAGCCGCGGUAAUAAGGG
This 471-nucleotide ribosomal RNA is filed under the name uncultured Alphaproteobacteria bacterium. RNAcentral describes it as "bacterial SSU rRNA". It matches the Rfam family "Bacterial small subunit ribosomal RNA", at positions 12 to 529 of the family's 1533-position model. The record is from RNAcentral. Lineage: Bacteria; Pseudomonadati; Pseudomonadota; Alphaproteobacteria.